This 695-nucleotide long non-coding RNA is filed under the name Rattus norvegicus (Norway rat). RNAcentral's name for it is "long non-coding RNA NONRATT028521". The record is from RNAcentral. Lineage: Eukaryota; Metazoa; Chordata; Mammalia; Rodentia; Muridae.
UUUUUUUUUUUUUUUUUUUUUUUGCUUGUCUGAUGUGCGAGCACAGGUGCCAGUCCAAUUGCUUCGUAUCACGGAAUAGUGUUUUAAAUUCAUCAAUGUUCUAGUUAAUGUCUACCUCAGCACCUCCUCUUAGCCUAAUUCUAGGAGGUUGCCCAAUUUUGUUUCUUCAAUUUUAUUGGUUCUUUUGGUUGUUGUACAAAUCACUCUUCCCACCCUUGACUCCUCCCUCUUUCACCUCUCUCUUGUCUCUCCCCUCACCCUCUCCUUUCCUCACAUCCGGCCUCCUUCCAGUUAGCCCCAUCCCCCCCCCCCUUUGCCUUCACUUUCCUCUAGUCCAGAUUGCUUUCUGUCCACUUGGAAGUGUGCUCCCCACCCCGUUGCCGCUUACCCACACCUGCCUUCGUUCUGUGUAGAUUGACGCGUUUCUUUGUAACUUCAGUGUUUCUGACAAGACUUUAAAAAAAAAAAAAGGAAAAAAAAUGAAUUUACUGCUGCAGGUUUUUUUCUCCAUGUGUCACUAAGUGAAGUUUGUGCCUUCUAUAGCAAAGAGAAUAUUUUUUACAUCCUACUAACAGUAGAUUUUUUUGUAGUGAACAUUUUUUGUAUUUUUAUUUAUAAGUCUCAUAAGAAAAAUAGCGAUGUUCAGUUGUAUACCUUGAAUCUGCAGUUAGAAGAGAAUAAAGUUAAUUCAGUUG